RNAcentral lists this ribosomal RNA (602 nucleotides) under Sphingomonas sp. HS419. Its description in RNAcentral is "bacterial SSU rRNA". It matches the Rfam family "Bacterial small subunit ribosomal RNA", at positions 32 to 696 of the family's 1533-position model. The record is from RNAcentral. Lineage: Bacteria; Pseudomonadati; Pseudomonadota; Alphaproteobacteria; Sphingomonadales; Sphingomonadaceae.
GACGCUGGCGGCAUGCCUAAUACAUGCAAGUCGAACGAGAUCUUCGGAUCUAGUGGCGCACGGGUGCGUAACGCGUGGGAAUCUGCCCUUGGGUUCGGAAUAACAGUUGGAAACGACUGCUAAUACCGGAUGAUGACGAAAGUCCAAAGAUUUAUCGCCCAAGGAUGAGCCCGCGUAGGAUUAGCUAGUUGGUGGGGUAAAGGCCUACCAAGGCGACGAUCCUUAGCUGGUCUGAGAGGAUGAUCAGCCACACUGGGACUGAGACACGGCCCAGACUCCUACGGGAGGCAGCAGUAGGGAAUAUUGGACAAUGGGGGCAACCCUGAUCCAGCAAUGCCGCGUGAGUGAUGAAGGCCUUAGGGUUGUAAAGCUCUUUUACCCGGGAUGAUAAUGACAGUACCGGGAGAAUAAGCCCCGGCUAACUCCGUGCCAGCAGCCGCGGUAAUACGGAGGGGGCUAGCGGUGUCGGAAUUACUGGGCGUAAAGCGCACGUAGCGGCAUUAAGUAGAGGUGAAGCCCGGGCUUACCCGGACUGCUUUAACUGAUUGUUGAAUCCGGAGAGGGAGUGGAAUCCAGUGAGAGGGAAUCGAAAUUUCGAAACC